AUUGAACGCUGGCGGCAGGCUUAACACAUGCAAGUCGAACGAUGAUUAUCUAGCUUGCUAGAUAUGAUUAGUGGCGGACGGGUGAGUAACAUUUAGGAAUCUGCCUAGUAGUGGGGGAUAGCUCGGGGAAACUCGAAUUAAUACCGCAUACGACCUACGGGUGAAAGGGGGCGCAAGCUCUUGCUAUUAGAUGAGCCUAAAUCAGAUUAGCUAGUUGGUGGGGUAAAGGCCCACCAAGGCGACGAUCUGUAACUGGUCUGAGAGGAUGAUCAGUCACACCGGAACUGAGACACGGUCCGGACUCCUACGGGAGGCAGCAGUGGGGAAUAUUGGACAAUGGGGGCAACCCUGAUCCAGCCAUGCCGCGUGUGUGAAGAAGGCCUUUUGGUUGUAAAGCACUUUAAGCAGGGAGGAGAGGCUAAUGGUUAAUACCCAUUAGAUUAGACGUUACCUGCAGAAUAAGCACCGGCUAACUCUGUGCCAGCAGCCGCGGUAAUACAGAGGGUGCGAGCGUUAAUCGGAAUUACUGGGCGUAAAGCGAGUGUAGGUGGCUCAUUAAGUCACAUGUGAAAUCCCCGGGCUUAACCUGGGAACUGCAUGUGAUACUGGUGGUGCUAGAAUAUGUGAGAGGGAAGUAGAAUUCCAGGUGUAGCGGUGAAAUGCGUAGAGAUCUGGAGGAAUACCGAUGGCGAAGGCAGCUUCCUGGCAUAAUAUUGACACUGUGAUUCGAAAGCGUGGGUAGCAAACAGGAUUAGAUACCCUGGUAGUCCACGCCGUAAACGAUGUCUACUAGCCGUUGGGGUCCUUGAGACUUUAGUGGCGCAGUUAACGCGAUAAGUAGACCGCCUGGGGAGUACGGCCGCAAGGUUAAAGCUCAAAUGAAUUGACGGGGGCCCGCACAAGCGGUGGAGCAUGUGGUUUAAUUCGAUGCAACGCGAAGAACCUUACCUGGUCUUGACAUAGUGAGAAUCCUGCAGAGAUGCGGGAGUGCCUUCGGGAAUUCACAUACAGGUGCUGCAUGGCUGUCGUCAGCUCGUGUCGUGAGAUGUUGGGUUAAGUCCCGCAACGAGCGCAACCCUUUUCCUUAUUUGCCAGCGGGUUAAGCCGGGAACUUUAAGGAUACUGCCAGUGACAAACUGGAGGAAGGCGGGGACGACGUCAAGUCAUCAUGGCCCUUACGACCAGGGCUACACACGUGCUACAAUGGUAGGUACAGAGGGUUGCUACACAGCGAUGUGAUGCUAAUCUCAAAAAGCCUAUCGUAGUCCGGAUUGGAGUCUGCAACUCGACUCCAUGAAGUCGGAAUCGCUAGUAAUCGCAGAUCAGAAUGCUGCGGUGAAUACGUUCCCGGGCCU
RNAcentral lists this ribosomal RNA (1355 nucleotides) under uncultured bacterium. RNAcentral describes it as "bacterial SSU rRNA". It matches the Rfam family "Bacterial small subunit ribosomal RNA", at positions 28 to 1381 of the family's 1533-position model. The record is from RNAcentral.